GCAGUUUGAGAAGAUGGCGGCCUGAACCGGAGUCCUUCUUCCCCUCCUCCCUCUCCGCUGCUGCAAUGCCCAGGCCCCCCGCAACGUUCCUCGUCUGUAAUGGUGCCAGAGGCUUUAAAUCUUGCAGAAGCCACAUCUGCUGCCUGCAGCAGAGAUGGGGUUUCACCAUAUUGGCCAGGCUGGUCUUGAACUCAAGAUGAUUCGCCCAACACAGCCUCUCAAAGUGCUGGGAUUACAGUCUCCGGUAUGUCAUUAUCAGCAGUGUGAAAAUGGACUCACUCCCACCCUGUCUGGAUCUGGACAAGAGCCCACCACCCCGUUGGCAGUAGUCAGGCAGCUCUGCUUCUAAGAACCUGCAGCUUUUGGAAGAAAGGCACCCUGUGGUUUCAGAAGCCCAAGAGUCCCUGCAGCUCAGCACCCCCAGCCUGGUGCUUGGCAGAUGACUGCCUCCUCACUUAGCAGAGGGAGCAGAAAACUGUGUAUUCUUCAGAACAUCAUGAUAACCUGGCACUCAUGGGUCUAUGGAGAGAAUUCAGGGGGUCUGGGAGCUUGGAUGGAAUAAAUUUGCAUCUUUAUUUUCAGGAAAGUUUUACUGAAGUUUAGCAUUUUCUUUCAUUAUAAAUGGAAUCAGUAUAACCCAAUAGUAUGAGCAGUUACUUCUCCGCAACAUCAAAGUGGCUGCAGAUAUCUCAAAAUAGUAUUUACAUUUAUCAUAACUUAGAAAUUUGGGUGGUAAUUAAACCAGCAACUAUUCUUUGUUUAAUGCAUUAAGAAAGAAGUAUGUAUACUAUCAUAUCUCAAUUAAAAAUAUUUUA
This 815-nucleotide long non-coding RNA is filed under the name Homo sapiens (human). Its description in RNAcentral is "novel transcript". Lineage: Eukaryota; Metazoa; Chordata; Mammalia; Primates; Hominidae. The record is from RNAcentral.